RNAcentral lists this ribosomal RNA (459 nucleotides) under uncultured bacterium. RNAcentral's name for it is "partial 16S ribosomal RNA". It matches the Rfam family "Bacterial small subunit ribosomal RNA", at positions 338 to 795 of the family's 1533-position model. The record is from RNAcentral.
CCUAGGGGUGGCAGCAGUGAGGAAUAUUGGUCAAUGGACGAGAGUCUGAACCAGCCAAGUAGCGUGAAGGAUGACUGCCCUAUGGGUUGUAAACCUCUUUUAUAUGGGAAUAAAAUGUUCCACGUGUGGGAUUUUGUAUGUACCUUAUGAAUAAGGAUCGGCUAACUCCGUGCCAGCAGCCGCGGUAAUACGGAGGAUCCGAGCGUUAUCCGGAUUUAUUGGGUUUAAAGGGAGCGUAGGCGGUUUUUUAAGUAAGUGGUUAAAGGUUGGGGCUACACCUUGAAUUGCCAUUUAUACUGUAAGACUCGAGUGCAGGCGGGGUAGGCGGAAUACGUAGAGUAGCGGUGGAAUGCGUAGAUAUAAGGUAGAACACCAGUGGCGAAGGCAGGUUACUAGACUGUGACUGACGCUGAGGCACGAGAGCGUGGGUAGCGAACAGGAUUAGAUACCCGAGUAGUC